AUUGAACGCUGGCGGCAGGCCUAACACAUGCAAGUCGAGCGGCAGCGGAAGGAAGCUUGCUUUCUUGCCGGCGAGCGGCGGACGGGUGAGUAAGGUAUGGGAUCUGGCCGAAGGCGGGGGAUAACCACUGGAAACGGUGGCUAAUACCGCAUAAUCUCUAGGGAGCAAAGUGGGGGACCGUUCAGGCCUCACACCUUCGGAUGAACCCAUAUGAGAUUAGCUAGUAGGUGGGGUAAUGGCUCACCUAGGCGACGAUCUCUAGCUGGUCUGAGAGGAUGAUGAGCCACACUGGGACUGAGACACGGCCCAGACUCCUACGGGAGGCAGCAGUGGGGAAUAUUGCACAAUGGGCGCAAGCCUGAUGCAGCCAUGCCGCGUGUAUGAAGAAGGCCUUCGGGUUGUAAAGUACUUUCAGUCGUGAGGAAGGUGUUAAGGUUAAUAACCUUAGCAAUUGACGUUAGCGACAGAAGAAGCACCGGCUAACUCCGUGCCAGCCGCCGCCGUAA
Molecule: ribosomal RNA, 506 nt
Filed under: uncultured bacterium
Lineage: Bacteria
Description: partial 16S ribosomal RNA
Rfam family: Bacterial small subunit ribosomal RNA
Source: RNAcentral